GGGUUGUGAGGUUAAGCGACUAAGCGUACACGGUGGAUGCCCUGGCAGUCAGAGGCGAUGAAGGACGUGCUAAUCUGCGAUAAGCGUCGGUAAGGUGAUAUGAACCGUUAUAACCGGCGAUUUCCGAAUGGGGAAACCCAGUGUGAUUCGUCACACUAUCAUUAACUGAAUCCAUAGGUUAAUGAGGCGAACCGGGGGAACUGAAACAUCUAAGUACCCCGAGGAAAAGAAAUCAACCGAGAUUCCCCCAGUAGCGGCGAGCGAACGGGGAGCAGCCCAGAGUCUGAAUCAGUGUGUGUGUUAGUGGAAGCGUCUGGAAAGGCGCGCGAUACAGGGUGACAGCCCCGUACACAAAAAUGCACAUGCUGUGAGCUCGAUGAGUAGGGCGGGACACGUGGUAUCCUGUCUGAAUAUGGGGGGACCAUCCUCCAAGGCUAAAUACUCCUGACUGACCGAUAGUGAACCAGUACCGUGAGGGAAAGGCGAAAAGAACCCCGGCGAGGGGAGUGAAAAAGAACCUGAAACCGUGUACGUACAAGCAGUGGGAGCACGCUUAGGCGUGUGACCGCGUACCUUUUGUAUAAUGGGUCAGCGACUUAUAUUCUGUAGCAAGGUUAACCGAAUAGGGGAGCCGAAGGGAAACCGAGUCUUAACUGGGCGUUAAGUUGCAGGGUAUAGACCCGAAACCCGGUGAUCUAGCCAUGGGCAGGUUGAAGGUUGGGUAACACUAACUGGAGGACCGAACCGACUAAUGUUGAAAAAUUAGCGGAUGACUUGUGGCUGGGGGUGAAAGGCCAAUCAAACCGGGAGAUAGCUGGUUCUCCCCGAAAGCUAUUUAGGUAGCGCCUCGUGAACUCAUCUCCGGGGGUAGAGCACUGUUUCGGCAAGGGGGUCAUCCCGACUUACCAACCCGAUGCAAACUGCGAAUACCGGAGAAUGUUAUCACGGGAGACACACGGCGGGUGCUAACGUCCGUCGUGAAGAGGGAAACAACCCAGACCGCCAGCUAAGGUCCCAAAGUCAUGGUUAAGUGGGAAACGAUGUGGGAAGGCCCAGACAGCCAGGAUGUUGGCUUAGAAGCAGCCAUCAUUUAAAGAAAGCGUAAUAGCUCACUGGUCGAGUCGGCCUGCGCGGAAGAUGUAAUGGGGCUAAACCAUGCACCGAAGCUGCGGCA
Molecule: ribosomal RNA, 1174 nt
Filed under: Escherichia coli
Lineage: Bacteria; Pseudomonadati; Pseudomonadota; Gammaproteobacteria; Enterobacterales; Enterobacteriaceae
Description: partial 23S ribosomal RNA
Rfam family: Bacterial large subunit ribosomal RNA
Source: RNAcentral